AAAAAGACAAACCCUGGUUUCCGUGACCAACGUUUGACCGUUCGUCUUAUUUGAAAAAAUUAUGAAAAAAAUUAAAAAGACAAGUCGCGCAUAAAAUAUUAAUCAUGUUUUAUCAUCUAACAACAAUGAAAAUACGAAUUAUAAAAAAAAUUUCAUAUAAGACGAAGUUGGGCACGUAAACCUAUAGUUUACCAUUUU
RNAcentral lists this microRNA precursor (198 nucleotides) under Oryza sativa Japonica Group (Japanese rice). RNAcentral describes it as "MIR812 microRNA precursor family". It matches the Rfam family "MIR812 microRNA precursor family". Lineage: Eukaryota; Viridiplantae; Streptophyta; Magnoliopsida; Poales; Poaceae. The record is from Rfam by way of RNAcentral.